RNAcentral lists this ribosomal RNA (497 nucleotides) under uncultured bacterium. Its description in RNAcentral is "partial 16S ribosomal RNA". It matches the Rfam family "Bacterial small subunit ribosomal RNA", at positions 28 to 507 of the family's 1533-position model. The record is from RNAcentral.
GAUGAACGCUGGCGGCGUGCCUAAUACAUGCAAGUCGAGCGAACAGACGAGGAUCUUGCUCCUCUGACGUUAGCGGCGGACGGGUGAGUAACACGUGGAUAACCUACCUAUAAGACUGGGAUAACUUCGGGAAACCGGAGCUAAUACCGGAUAAUAUCUUGAACCGCAUGGUUCAAUAGUGAAAGACGGUUUUGCUGUCACUUAUAGAUGGAUCCGCGCCGCAUUAGCUAGUUGGUAAGUUAACGGCUUACCAAGGCAACGAUGCGUAGCCGACCUGAGAGGGUGAUAGGCCACACUGGAACUGAGACACGGUCCAGACUCCUAAGGGAGGCAGCAGUAGGGAAUCUGCCGCAAUGGGCGAAAGCCUGACGGAGCAACGCCGCGUGAGUGAUGAAGGUCUUCGGAUCGUAAAACUCUGUUAUUAGGGAAGAACAAAUGUGUAAGUAACUAUGCACGUCUUGACGGUACCUAAUCAGAAAGCAACGGCUAACUACGUG